Long non-coding RNA from Spinacia oleracea (spinach), 812 nucleotides. RefSeq lists it as uncharacterized. Lineage: Eukaryota; Viridiplantae; Streptophyta; Magnoliopsida; Caryophyllales; Amaranthaceae. The record is from RefSeq and is a predicted model, not a curated record. The transcript is spliced from 4 exons.
UUUUUAGAAUUAUUUUCUGUAAUUGAAUUUUGUCUAAUUGAAUACACUAACAUGUGGGAAACCAUGGGAAAUUCAAAGAAACCUUACAAUUUGUCUAAUUGUAACAACAAUCAAUUGAUUUCUGGGACAAAAUGAAUUUGUUUUUAGUAAAAGUGCCCGGCAAAAAAACAAGAACCCUAAUUUUGCCUUAAGGAUUUGCAGAUAUUAAUGUAAUCAAACGAUGAAUUUUCGGGUGGAAAUGGAAGAGCCUGUUUAAUUGAAACGAGCAGCGAUUGAUGCGCCAACUGGAACAUCAGGCAAUUGUUGAUAUUUCUCGUACUGCUUCCUCGCCUAUUGUUGUCUAUAACAUCAACAUCAGGCUUCAGGGUUUUGGCGCGUGAUGUCCCAGCUCUGUUCAUGGUUAUGCCAUGUAGUAUACACUUCACAGGGUUAUCGAUCAUCACACUGCACCAAUCAACAGGGUAACCAACAACGGAAACUUGUUCGCACGGACUUAUGCCGCUGUCAGAUGCUCUGCUCUCAACUUUCUCACCAGCCAUACCUGACAUGAUUGAAUCACACUUUGUUUUGGGUGGGGGAGAAGAGGGGUUUGGAAAUAAUAAAUUCAUAAAUUAGACUAAUACUUGUACGCCGUAUGUAGGUUAUAGGUCUAUAUAUAUAAUACCUCGUAUAAGUGUAUAACUAACUAAUCAAUAUUUGCAGAGAACUCUUUGGGAUUUUGAAUCGUAUAGGAUUCUAUAUUUAAGGUAUUUCGCAUCGUAAAGAAUUUUCUAUUACAUUAUAUUGAAAUAGAUAUCAACUAUUAAGAGUCA